This 460-nucleotide ribosomal RNA is filed under the name uncultured bacterium. RNAcentral describes it as "partial 16S ribosomal RNA". It matches the Rfam family "Bacterial small subunit ribosomal RNA", at positions 338 to 795 of the family's 1533-position model. The record is from RNAcentral.
CCUACGGGAGGCAGCAGUGAGGAAUAUUGGUCAAUGGGCGGAAGCCUGAACCAGCCAAGUCGCGUGAGGGAUGAAGGUUCUAUGGAUGGUAAACCUCUUUUAUAAGGGAAUAAAGUGAGGCACGUGUGCCAUGUUGUAUGUACUAUAUGAAUAAGGAUCGGCUAACUCCGUGCCAGCAGCCGCGGUAAUACGGAGGAUCCGAGCGUUAUCCGGAUUUAUUGGGGUUAAAGGGAGCGUAGAUGGGAUGUUAAGUCAGUUGUGAAAGUUUGCGGCUCAACCGUAAAAUUGCAGUUGAGACUGGCAUUCUUGAGUACAGUUGAGGUAUGCGGAAUUCGUGGUGUAGCGGUGAAAUGCUUAGAUAUCACGAAGAACUCCGAUUGCGAAGGCAGCUUACUAGACUGCCACUGACAUUGAGGCUCGAAAGUGUGGGUAUCAAACAGGAUUAGAUACCCCUGUAGUC